UGUAUAAGAGACAGCAGCAGCCACGGGAAUACGUAGGUGGCGAGCGUUGUCCGGAAUUAUUGGGCGUAGAGGGAGCGCAGGCGGACAUAUAAGUCCAUCUUAAAAGUGCGGGGCUCAACCCCGUGAGGGGAUGGAAACUGUAUGCCUUGAGUGUAGGAGAGGAAAGCGGAAUUCCCAGUGUAGCGGUGAAAUGCGUAGAUAUUGGGAGGAACACCAGUGGCGAAGGCGGCUUUCUGGACUGCAACUGACGCUGAGGCUCGAAAGCCAGGGGAGCGAACGGGAUUAGAUACCCGUGUAGUCCCUGUCUCUUAUACA
This 315-nucleotide ribosomal RNA is filed under the name uncultured bacterium. Its description in RNAcentral is "partial 16S ribosomal RNA". It matches the Rfam family "Bacterial small subunit ribosomal RNA", at positions 498 to 809 of the family's 1533-position model. The record is from RNAcentral.